GCGGCCAUCUGAGGCAGGACUCUAGGAGCCUCUGUCACACCCGGCAGUGCACAGGAUGAUUCAGAGAGAGGCUGUCCCAAGGCCUCCCGGCUCACUGGUCGCAGUCUUCCCGGUCCUCCCGCCACCCUCCACACAGCACCACUGCCACCCACAUCCCUGCUGGGCAGGAGAGGGGGUCGGGAGGGCAGACACAGGGCAGUGGGCGAGUCUGAUCCAGGUUUUGUGAGGCCUCCCUAUAAAGAAAAGAAUACAAACUUACAAAAACAAAAUUAGGUAUGACAGUGAAUAUUUCUUUAGGAUGAGGAAAAAAAAAAAGCAAACAUACAAAAUCCAGAAAACCAACAUCGUGUUUUUACGAAGGGCCUGCUCCAUCUCCAUAACACUUCUUCCUGCACUUUUUGGCUGCGUACUUUUUAUCUAUCUCAUUGUUUGAGAAUUUUACAUCACCUACGAUAGAAGGAAUAGAAACAUAAUUGCUCUUCCUCCAGCAUGGCUGAUUGAAAUUUGUUUUUUCUUAUUUAUAAUUAGAACACAUAGAACAGAUGACUUAACACAUGUGCACACAGCUUUGCAGUACAGCUAGAGGUCUGUGUACAUUAAACAACAAGUUCUGAUCAAUUCUAUUUACAAGAUUCCUGUUUGCGAAAGGAAGCAGGCCAGGCAUAGUGGCUCCCACCUGUAAUGCCAGUACUUUGGGAGCCCAAGGUGGGCGGAUCACUUGAGCGCAGGAGUUUAAGACCAGCCUGGCCAACAUGGUGAGAUCCUGUGUCUACCAAAAAAAAAAAAAAAAUAGCUGGAUGUGUAGUUCCAGCUACUCAGGAGGCUGAGGUGGAAGGAUUGCUUGAGCCUGGGAGGUUGAGGCUGCAGUGAGCUGUGACUGCCCUACUGCGCUGCAGCCUGGGCGACAGAGCAAGUCCCUAUAUCAAAAAAAAAGAGGAAGCAGCAAUGCUGGGUGCACAUUUAUAAUUGUAUACGAUGCAUUUAUCAACAGACCAUUUCUGCUCUGGCGAGGCCCUGAUGAGAGCUGAAUACUCUGCUUACAAUGGCACACGCCCGAGGACCGUCAGAGAGUCCACCGGGCGCUUGGGCUCCGUGUGUUUCAGACCAGCCUGGCCAACAUGGUAAAAUCUGCAUCCAUGUGCAGUGCAGAGCAUGGCAGGGUGCAUUCUCCUCCUCACCGUCUCUCCCAAGCACCUUCAGGUCGUGAUGCCGAAGAAACCAUCUAUGCCCAGGUCUUAAUCCAUAAAGGUGCCUAACAGAGGUCAGCGCUAUUGAAAGGAAAGUCUAACAUCGCUCUGGAAACAUUCGCUAGAAAUGAGAGACAUGGCAGGCCCCGCAGGGCGGCAGGGGGAAGCCGCAGGCAGACCAGGAGGCAGAAAGGAGCGAGGGAAAGGCCAAGCCACAGCCUCUGUUGGCUUCCUGGGAAAGCCGGGCAGAGCAGGGGAGACAGCUUGGGACGGGCUGAUUUGUCUGAUUCUGGGUUCCGGGGCUGUCCCUUGUGGUCUGGUUCUGGGCCUGGGUUGACACUGGGCAGGGAAAUAUUGGCUGGGGGUACAGAAGAUGAAUGAAGUGGUUUGGAGCAGGGGCUCUGGGCAGGAGGGGAGGUGCCAACAGCCCUGGUCAGGAGGUUGGCCCUGUCAUCAUGACCGCAAGUAGUCAAACGCAGGAUCUAAGGAGGCACAAAUCAAGGACGAAGCCAGCAGGAAGGAAAAGCUCAGCCCUCUGGGAAGAAAAGACCCGUUGUUAAGCUGAUGAAGGCCAUCUAUGGAAAAAGUCAGAGCUGCCAACACAGCUAACAGGAAAAUGUUGAAAGCUUUCUUUACAAGAUUGGCAAGGGGACAAAGACACCUAUUGGUGCCGCUGCUAUUCAAUAUCAGCCUGGAUGUGGCAGACUGCACAGUGAGUUGGGUAAAGUUUGUGAAGAAGAAAACAAAACUGUCUUUAUUCACAGAUGAUAUGGUUGUGUAUGCAGAAGAGUCUACAUAAUCCACAGGGAAAUUCUGAGGAUUCAGAGGAGUUUAGCAAAGUUGUUGGGUUCAAAAUCCAUAGGCAACAUUCCAUUUUCUUACUAUAUAUUAGCAACAAUGUUGGAAAAAUAAAAUUUAUAAAAAGACAUAAUAGCACAAAAUAUCAAGAAUCUAAGAAUAAUGUACAAGGUCACUAUACAGAAAUGUUAUUAGCAGGCAUUAAAGAUGGUCUAAACAAAUGGAGAUACCAUGUUCAUGGAUUAGAAGACUCAAAAUGAAUUCUUCCCAAAUUAAUUAAUUUUUUCCAAAUUGAUUUGUAGAACUAAAGAAAUUGCUAUCCAAAUCCUAACCAGGUUUUUGUGGAACUUAAAAUACUUACUCUAAAAUUUGUGUUGUUUUCGUUUUUGAUUUUUUUUUUUUCUUUUUCUUCUUCUUCUUAUAUUGAGACGGGGUUUCUCUAUGUUUUCCAGGCUGGUCUCAAACUCCUGGGCUCAAGCCAUCUGCCCGCCUCAGCCUCUCAAAGUGCUUGGAUUACAGGCAUGAAGCACUUCAUCCAGACUAAAAUUUGUAUGGAAAUACAAAUUCAAUUUGACAAAUAUUUGGCCAGGCAUGGUGGCUCAUGUCUAUAAUCCCAGCACGCUGGGAGGCUGAGGCGGGUGGAUCACUUGAGGUCAGGAGUUCGUGACCAGCCUGGCCAACAUGGUGAAACCCCGUCUCUACUAAAAAUACAAAAAUUAGCCUGAAAUCACUUGAACCCAGGAGGCGAAGGCUGCAGUGAGCCAAGAUUGUGCCACUGUACUCCAGCCUGGGCAAGAGAGAGAGACUGCAUCUCAAAAAGAAAAAAUAAUAAAUAAAAAAUAUUUCUUGAGCCCCUUAGUCCAGGGACUGCUUCUGGUACUUGGGAUGCCUCUAAGAACCCCACCCACAAAGACCCUUCUUCGUAGACCUUAGCAGGAGAGACACACAGUAAAGAGUAAACACAAUACAUAAGCAAAGUACCCAGUAUGGCAGGAGGUCAUAAGUGUUUUGCAAAAAACCAAGACUACAGAGGGGAGGGUCACCAGGACAUCUAGGGGCAGAGGUGGGGUGAGAAUCCAACCUUCCACACAGGCCAUCUCUGCGACCCAUCUCUGUGACCCCAACAAGAGGCCCCUCGCCGGCCAUCCCCGUUCCAGCUUCUGAUGUCCUGAUGUAGAAGCGUCUCCUCUGCAGCUCUGAGGUGAGAGGCCAAGCCCUCCGUGACCCCAAAAGGCCAGGGCUCCCCAAGUGUUAUCCACAAACACCCCUGUGGGGACGGCAGGCUCCUACAAGGCGCCCUUGCACAGGUCUCUUGCAGAGCUUCUCCACCCACUCUCUGGGCCCUGACACAGUGGGAGGGUGCCUGUCCUUACCCCAGCCGGAUGUCCCACCACACUCCUGCCUGGGGACUUCUGGCACGCAGGAGAGGCUGGACACACAGAUGCAGAGAGGCUUGCCCCAACGCCAUUGCCCGUUUUACCUUGAAGUUCGUGGUUCUUUAAUUCUUGUUCCAAACUGUGAGUCAACCUUUAAAAUAUAUGAUAUUGAAGUUCUCCUUCAGCCUCCGGUCUUUCAUCACAGUUAAAUCCAGAGAUUUCACGAGCAGUAGAUAAAUCUGCAGUAGAGAAAAGUGCUCCAAAGGUGGGCGCGCCAGGCUCCCAUUUGGAGCUGUUUAUAAAUGCUUUUAUGUAGACCCCUCCUAGAUGACGAGGAAUGGCCUCAGAGCAACCCUGGGAAGGAUGAGGAGGGGUCCGGGGACUCCAGACGAAAUCGCACAGCCACCUACCGUGUGAGUGGAAACCCAUGCUGCUUCUGCCUGGCCUCUAGGAUCCGCGUUCAGGGGAAGCCGUGUCCCUGGGGUCAUGAGACGUGAUUGUUCAGACCAAUGGAUGAGGCUGAGCAGAAUCAUUUCAUUUCCCCCGCACUUGCCAAGGGCAGGGACUUUCCCGUUUGUCCCUGCCUGAUAUGCAGGAAGGACUCAGAACUACUUAAGAACAAAUCAAUGAACCUAUGGCUUUAUGGCAAAUACCACAGAAACAACCUUAGAAAUGGGCUGAGGAGGCUGUCUGGCCUCUAACAAAUGACCUCAUCUCUCUGAACCUUAAUUUCCUCAUCAGUAAAGUGGCAGUGCAGCCCCUCCCUCACAGGACGCUCCAUGGCAGAGUGCAG
This 4154-nucleotide long non-coding RNA is filed under the name Homo sapiens (human). RNAcentral describes it as "HSALNT0068241". The record is from RNAcentral. Lineage: Eukaryota; Metazoa; Chordata; Mammalia; Primates; Hominidae.